UCCUUGGUGGCUCAGAUGGUAAAGCGUCUGCCUGCAAUGCAGGAGACCCAGGUUCGAUCCCUGGGUCAGGAA
RNAcentral lists this transfer RNA (72 nucleotides) under Bos indicus (zebu cattle). It matches the Rfam family "tRNA". Rfam says of the family: Transfer RNA (tRNA) molecules are approximately 80 nucleotides in length. Their secondary structure includes four short double-helical elements and three loops (D, anti-codon, and T loops). Lineage: Eukaryota; Metazoa; Chordata; Mammalia; Artiodactyla; Bovidae. The record is from Rfam by way of RNAcentral.